Molecule: ribosomal RNA, 1059 nt
Filed under: uncultured fungus
Lineage: Eukaryota; Fungi
Description: eukaryotic LSU rRNA
Rfam family: Eukaryotic large subunit ribosomal RNA (bases 351-1059)
Source: RNAcentral
AUCGAUGAAGAACGCCAGCGAAAUGCGAUACGUAAUGUGAAUUGCAGAAUUCCGUGAAUCAUUGAAUCUUUGAACGCAUCUUGCGCCUCUUGGUAUUCCGAGGGGCAUGCCUGUUUGAGUGUCAUUAGAACUAUCAAAAAACAAUGGUUUCGAUCAUUAUUUUUUGGAAUUGGAGGUGGUGCCUGGGUCUUUUGAGAAAAAGACUCCCCGAGCUCCUCUGAAAUGCAUUAGCGAAAUGCAGUGCACUUUCUUCUCCUUGGGGCAUUGAUAGUUACUUUCAUGUCCUAAGCUGCGGGGAGGAAGUCACAGAAUGCUUUCUUGCUCCUGAACGUGUAAAUCUUGACAAUCAAAGCCCUCAAAUCAGGCAGGACUACCCGCUGAACUUAAGCAUAUCAAUAAGCGGAGGAAAAGAAACUAACAAGGAUUCCCCUAGUAACUGCGAGUGAAGCGGGAAGAGCUCAAAUUUAAAAUCUGGCAGCCUGAUGGGCUUGUCCGAGUUGUAAUCUAGAGAAGUGUCUUCCGCGCUGGGACCGUGUACAAGUCUCUUGGAAUGGAGCGUCAUAGAGGGUGAGAAUCCCGUCUCUGACACGGAAUUUACCGGUGCUUUUGUGAUGCGCUCUCGAAGAGUCGAGUUGUUUGGGAAUGCAGCUCAAAAUGGGUGGUAAAUUCCAUCUAAAGCUAAAUACAGGCGAGAGACCGAUAGCGAACAAGUACCGUGAGGGAAAGAUGAAAAGGACUUUGAAAAGAGAGUUAAACAUUACGUGAAAUUGUUGAAAGGGAAACGAUUCAAGUCAGUCGCAUUAGCCAGUAAUCAACCCUCGCAAUUAACCUUGCUGGGCUUACUUUCUGGUUGAUGGGUCAGCAUCAAUUUUGACCGUCAGAGAAAGGCUUUGCGGGGAAUGUGACAUCUUCGGAUGUGUUAUAGCCCCAACUCGCAUGUGAUGGUCGGGAUUGAGGAACUCAGCACGCCUUUACAGGUCAGGGCCGCCAGAAUGGCCCAUGUAAACGUAGCUUAGGAUGCUGGCAUAAUGGCUUGAACCGACCCGUCUUGAAACACGG